GCAAGUCGAACGAAGGCUUCGGCCUUAGUGGCGAACGGGUGAGUAACGCGUGGGAACCUGCCCCCGAGUGGGGAACAACCGCUGGAAACGGCGGCUAAUACCGCAUACGCCGGCCCAGUUUACUGGGUCGGGAAAGCUUUAUGCGCUCAGGGAGGGUCCCGCGUCCGAUUAGCUAGUUGGAGGGGUAACGGCCCACCAAGGCGACGAUCGGUAGCUGGUCUGAGAGGAUGAUC
Molecule: ribosomal RNA, 233 nt
Filed under: uncultured bacterium
Lineage: Bacteria
Description: partial 16S ribosomal RNA
Rfam family: Bacterial small subunit ribosomal RNA
Source: RNAcentral